Molecule: ribosomal RNA, 504 nt
Filed under: uncultured bacterium
Lineage: Bacteria
Description: partial 16S ribosomal RNA
Rfam family: Bacterial small subunit ribosomal RNA
Source: RNAcentral
GACGAACGCUGGCGGCGUGCCUAAUACAUGCAAGUAGAACGCACAGUUUAUACCGUAGCUUGCUACACCAUAGACUGUGAGUUGCGAACGGGUGAGUAACGCGUAGGUAACCUGCCUGGUAGCGGGGGAUACUAUUGGAAACGAUAGCUAAUACCGCAUAAUAUUAAUUAUUUCAUGAUAAUUAAUUGAAAGGUGCAAUUGCACCACUACCAGAUGGACCUGCGUUGUAUUAGCUAGUAGGUGAGGUAACGGCUCACCUAGGCGACGAUACAUAGCCGACCUGAGAGGGUGAUCGGCCACACUGGGACUGAGACACGGCCCAGACUCCUACGGGAGGCAGCAGUAGGGAAUCUUCGGCAAUGGACGAAAGUCUGACCGAGCAACGCCGCGUGAGUGAAGAAGGUUUUCGGAUCGUAAAGCUCUGUUGUAAGAGAAGAACGGGUGUGAGAGUGGAAAGUUCACACUGUGACGGUAUCUUACCAGAAAGGGACGGCUAACUACGUG